RNAcentral lists this microRNA precursor (197 nucleotides) under Oryza nivara. RNAcentral's name for it is "MIR812 microRNA precursor family". It matches the Rfam family "MIR812 microRNA precursor family". The record is from Rfam by way of RNAcentral. Lineage: Eukaryota; Viridiplantae; Streptophyta; Magnoliopsida; Poales; Poaceae.
UAUAAGUGCAGUUGUGGAUUUUCAUGUUCAACACCUGUUUUAUUUAAUUUUUUUUAUAGUUAGCAUUUUAAUUGUUAUUAGAUGAUAAAACAUAUAUAAUACUUUAUGUGUGACUUACUUUUUAAAAUUUUUUAUAAACUUUUUAAAUAGAUCGAGCGGUCAAACAUAGGGUACGAAAACCGACAACUAUACUUAAA